This 24-nucleotide non-coding RNA is filed under the name Arabidopsis thaliana (thale cress). Lineage: Eukaryota; Viridiplantae; Streptophyta; Magnoliopsida; Brassicales; Brassicaceae. The record is from RNAcentral.
GAUGCAGAAACAGAGUCAGAUCCA